AUUGCAUUAAACAAAAUCAAGAAGCAAGAAUAACAAAUAGUCACUUUGUUUCAUAAGCGGUGACUGAAAUAAUGCACAACAUAGCAGAUAAUGAAAAAGCCUGCUACAACUAGAGUUUCAAGAUACAACAAAAGUUACAAAUCAGGUAUGCUACAGAUCAACCUUGUUUUCAUAUAUCAGCUGGUCUACGUGAAAUUGUUUCUUCAUCACAUGAUCAGCCUCUGCAGCUAAUGCUCGAUUCUUCGAGUUUAGGAGUUAGCUUUUUGUAAAUGACGUUCCACCUCCAUUUGAGAAAUUGCAGCAUCUCUUACACACAAGUGCUACAAAGAUCUGUUUCGUGCCAGAAUUCCAGCAAAGAAUUGUCGCAAAAGAAUGUGCGCUUUCAAAUGCAGUUUCACGAUAGCUUGUGAGACUUCACACAAGUUGUGACACAACCUCAAGCUCUGAAUCUCCUAAACCCAAACCAAAUUUCAUAGUGAUUGAAUAGCAAACUAUCAUGUGUAAACUUGCCAAUAUACUC
RNAcentral lists this unclassified non-coding RNA (520 nucleotides) under Hevea brasiliensis (rubber tree). The record is from RNAcentral. Lineage: Eukaryota; Viridiplantae; Streptophyta; Magnoliopsida; Malpighiales; Euphorbiaceae.